Long non-coding RNA from Procambarus clarkii (red swamp crayfish), 2145 nucleotides. RefSeq lists it as uncharacterized. NCBI's taxonomy places the organism in Eukaryota, Metazoa, Arthropoda, Malacostraca, Decapoda, Cambaridae. The record is from RefSeq and is a predicted model, not a curated record.
ACCCUAUAACCCCGCACAUGUACCCUGUACCCCCUGACAUCCUAUAACACAUCCUUGAGACAUACUCCAGGCGCUCGAGGAGUACCUUGGGGAGACGGAGACAGGAAGAGCGAGGAAGGUGACGGGAAGUCUUGUUCUGAGGACGAGAGGAGCGCCGAGGACCCGUCCGGCGUCACGUGGUGAUCGUCGAGGACGCCACUUGUGCAGAAUAAUAUUCUGAACAACGUCAUCCUGGAGACUUGCCUUGCAGACUCUUAAGGUUGGAUGAAGUGCAGCUAAUGCUGAGUGUGGCACUACAGCUGACCCAAACUGGCCUGUGACGCUCCUCUACCCCCACUUGUAUCAUGCCAGAGGCUAGCCCUUAAUGUCUGGCCUUCAACCUUAUAAACUCUGGUCCGGCCAACUACAGCCUGACGACAGAAGACGAGGACACUCUCUACUGGACAUCGACGACGACGGAACAAAACGAUGCACUGCCCGUCAACACUUGGUCUUCCGAUCCAAGAGCUCGCUUGCUGACACCACCUGCUGAUUCUUGGCUCUUCUUUGAAUGUUAGAAUUAAAUUUCUACUUCAAACAAUGGCUUUUUAUCCUACCGUAGUAUAAUUAAGCGUGAUUCGUACUACUGGGCGCACUGUUCUCGCGGCCAGGUGUCUAACUAGGCUGCUAGAUGAUGCUAUCCUGAACCCCCAACCCGGAUCUGGUAUAAUUUGAUGUUCAUAGACCUCUAGAAUAUAAUUCUAAACUGACUUAACCCCCCUCUCUCUCUCUCUCUCUCUCUCUCACACACCUUCCUAGUAUCAUGCAUUUAGUAAUGCCACUGAAGUUGUCAUUAUGGGUGGUAAACACUCUUGGUUAAGGGGGCGUAUUACGCUCUUAAAUGUUUAAUGUCAACCAAUAAUUUUUUUUUUAAUAGAACAUUUGCAGCCCUUCUUAUAUAUACAACUAGGUUUCAGUAUCACAUCCUAUACAGAACAGGCGAUGCAUAUAUUUUUUAGCAACGAAUUUUACACAUUUUCGAUAAUUAACUAAAACCACAAGUUUCAAAUGACAUUUCUAGGACACUCAUAAUGUUAGUAUAUACAAAGAUUUGGAUAAAAAAGGAUUACCCCAAAAAGGUUUAGUGUUACUAAUAAAAGUAGUCAAAGUUCCCCCAAAAUUAUAUGCCAAUAUUUCAUGUUUGCAAUGAUUUAUAAAAAAAUGAACUAAGUAAUAGUGUUUUAUGAUUAUUGUAGAAAUGUCGACUCUACAUAUAAAGUGUAAAUUGAAAACAAUGAAAGAUGCAAUUUUGUUACUUGAAAAUAUAAGAUUAAACACACUGCCAUCUGUGGUUGAAGUUGACUUCAACCAAUUUCCUCCAAAAUGUGCAUCUUUACAGAUAUACACCAUACAGAACGUUUGUCUAAGUUUCAUCUAAAUAAAUUUUUAUUUUUUACAUAAAACUUUGCAAAAAUUUAAAGUUGCUGCCACAUUUUUGGUAAGGGAGUAGUUAGUGGAUUGUCCCAUCCUAUAUUGGCUUGCCAGCAUUCUUGCAUGACUAACUUACCCUAUAUUAACAUCGGGCUUAACUCUCGGCAAGACUUAAUAGUGUCUACUCCCUCGGUAGUACAACCCUACUAUAGUGCUAACCUAGUCUUGCUUUCAAAAAAGGGGGCUAUAACCCCCCCCCUCCUUAGCUCCACAAGUAGGGAAACUAACCAAAGUUACACUGGUCAGCAGAGAAACUGGAGGCUGACCUACAGAAGCUUAGCUUCUAGUUAUACCGUAAUUACAUUAAACUGGUCUGGUUAAAUACUUGUUUGUGGUUCUGGGAAGGUGUGAGUGGUUCACAAGACCUAUUGUGGGUACCCAGAUCACCCUCAGGAUUGUGUACUUGCGGAAGUUAAGAGACGGGACCAAACAGCCGAAGCUCAACUGGUGUAAAGAUUCUCGAGCCUAUUGGGCUCCAUAUCUACAUUUCAAACUGUGUAUAGUCUGCCUCCUCAAGAGGGGGGAGUGCCGUCAGUGUCUGCUCCACUCGCCCUGACGGCUGAGUGGAUAGCGCUCUGGAUUCUUAAUCCUAAAGUUCUGGAUUUCGUCCCGGUGGAGACGGAAAUAGGCAUAAUUUUUCACCCUGGUGUCUGUUCACCCAGCAGUAAAUAGGUA